GGGCCGCACGCGCGCUACACUGACGGAGCCAGCGAGUAAUUCAACCUUGGCCGAGAGGUCUGGGUAAUCUUGUGAAACUCCGUCGUGCUGGGGAUAGAGCAUUGCAAUUAUUGCUCUUCAACGAGGAAUUCCUAGUAAGCGCAAGUCAUCAGCUUGCGUUGAUUACGUCCC
This 171-nucleotide ribosomal RNA is filed under the name Taiozyma bovis. RNAcentral describes it as "Wickerhamomyces bovis partial 18S rRNA". It matches the Rfam family "Eukaryotic small subunit ribosomal RNA", at positions 1484 to 1653 of the family's 1831-position model. The record is from RNAcentral. Lineage: Eukaryota; Fungi; Ascomycota; Saccharomycetes; Phaffomycetales; Wickerhamomycetaceae.